UUUUUAGGAUUCCAGGAGCUUCCGGAAAGCAGGCUUUUAUGGAAGGACACUUGGAAGGAGCGAAGUGCAAAAAAUGAACGAAGAGGCCCAAUGAUGCAUCUGCUGAACUUUUCAGUUGUCAAAUGCAAAUUAAGCACAAAGAGGACAGAGUUGAUGACAUAUCAGGAACAUUUUUUAUUUCCAGAGCAGGUCUGAGUCCCAGCGGAAGACUGAGGCCGACUGAGCCAGAGGUACCACUUCAACAGAGGUACCACUUCAACAGGUCACUGGUCUCUGCAGAGGAAGGAAAAGGUAUGUGGACUUCAUUUGACAGAUGUGGACUUCAUUUGACAGAUGUGGACUUGUCCAUGAUUACACAGCAAGAAAUAGAGCUGCAGUUGGUACCAGCGCCUUAUAACACUGGAUCUAUAAUAAUAAUAAAACACCACCAGUGUCAGUGCGUGUAAAUUUCACACCGCUUAUCACACUGCAUCUACAAAGUAGUGCUGAGAAUUAGGCAUGGCAGGCAUUAGUCUCUCCACAAGGAAACAAGCUCAGAGACUCUAAAGAUCCGUCCAAAUGCAUAGAGUGGGGAAGUUAUGGAAAGAGGAUGGUAGGACAUCCCAGCCCUGCCCAUGUUCAGAGCUUGUUCCAACACAUUAGUCUUCAGAUGAGCUCGUAUUUUAGUCUUACAUGCUCCAGCAAUGGCCUGAGAGGUGUAGGUACGUACUGAAUGUCCAGGCCUUGUUAAAGGUAACUACAGGAUGGGCCAGGUGUGAUGGCUCACACCUGUAAUCCCAGCACUUUGGGAGGCCAAAGCAGGUUGAUCAUGAGGUCAGGAGUUCGAGACCAGCCAGACCAACAUGGUGAAACCCCAUCUCUACUAAAAAUACAAAAGUUAGCGAGGUGUGGUGGUGCGUGCCUGUAAUCACAGCUACUCAGGAGGCUGAGGCAGGAGAAUCACUUGAAGCUGGGAGAUGGAGGUUGCAGUGAGCCAAGAUGGCGCCAUUGCACUCCAGCCUGGGCAACAGAGACUCCAUCUCAAAAAAUAAAAUAAAAUAAAAAAUAAAAGAUAACUGCAGGAUGAAUACACAAGUGCUAUGUUUAGAAAUUGAAAUGCUCCAAGUUUUUAGCAGUUUCAUCUGUAAUAGAACUCAGUUUCUAAGAGGCUCCACACCUGUGUCUUCUGGUAACAUACCUACUAGCUAUCUCAAAUCUGUUUUUGAACAAAGUAUGGGAAAGAUAAUACAUCAAAAUGAGCCUUGAUUUACACAGCAGCAGGCAAGUUCUCUGACAGAAAAUACUUUGUAAAUCACGAACCUCAUGUAAAUGCUAGGUAUUACUUAUAUUUUGAAGCCUGGAACAAUCAGAUGUUUGACAUUUUUCAAUUAGAAGUAUGGGGAUGAGAUACUUGUCCAUUGAAAACAUAACACAACCCAUAAAAUCUUAGUUUUUAAAUUGUCUUUUCUUUUUCUUUCUUUUUCUUUUUUUUUUUUUUUUUGAGACAGAAUUCUCACUCUGUCACCCGGGCUGGAGUGUAGUGGCACUGUCUCGGCUCACUGCAACCUCUGAUUCUCAGGUUCAGGUAAUUUUCCUGCCUCAGCCCCCUGAGUAGCUGGGAUUACAGGUGCCCGCCACCAUGGCUGGCUAAUUUUUGUACUGUUAGUAGAGACAGGGUUUCACCAUGUUGCCCAGGCUGGUCUCAAACUCUUGAACUCAAAUGAUCUGCCUGCCUCGGCCUCCCAGAGUGGUGGGAUUACAGGCGUGAGCCACCGCAUCUGGCCUAAGUUUCAUUUUUAACAACACAAAUUAGUUCAAUCAAAUAUCUUAAAUCUUAAAAUGAAAUCUUUUUUAACAGAAAAUCAAAUACCACAUGUUCUCACUUACAAGUGGGAGCUAAACAUUGGACACUCAUGAACAUAAAGAUGGGAACAGUAGACACUGGGGACUGUUACGGCGGUGAGGAAAGGGGUGGAGGGGGCAAGGGCUGGAAAAGUGUUGGAGACUAUGCUUAGUACCUGGGUGACAGGAUCAAUUGUAUGCCAAACCCCAGAAUCACACAAUAUUCCCAGGUAAGAAACCUGCACAUAUACCCUAAGAAUCUAUAAUAAAAGCAGAAAUUAGUAAAAAUAAAAUAAAAUAAAUGUAAAAAGAUAAAAAAUACUUUAAGCAAACCAAGCCACACACAAGAACCAAGAGGAUCCUUACAAAGAUUGCUUCUUCCUCUGGAGCAGACACCCACCAAGCCAACAGCCACAAGUAAGUUUCCUUGCAAUUUUUAAAGCCAAGGAUUUGCCACACUUUCGUAGACCUCACAUAAGCUCUUCAUUGCACAUGGGAAACCUAUGAACACUUUAUUUCUGCUCACAACUUCCUGUCUGGAUGUUGGCAUUCAGGGGGCCUGGGAAGGGGUUUGUGGCUGCAGGGCCCCCCCUGCUCUGUGGCUGCCACAUAAGGCCUUGUUUGUUACAAUGAAGUGAAUCAAGCUGGAUCUGAUAGGCCUAAGUUCUCUUUUCUUUUUUUCUCCAGGAGAAGUGAGAUUCCUCAAACGUGGGGUCUAGAUUUGCUGGAAGGAUGCUCAGCUAAACGUAGUCCGCAGAGAGGGAUGGGGGAAGAUCUUUGUUUCCUAGACCUGCGACUUUUCUAAUUUAAGUGGCCAAUAUAUGAUCUUUUUAAGGAAGGAGGUCUUAACACCAGCUUGGACUGCAGCGGAAAACUGGGAAUUCCUUGGCAGAAAAUCUCUACUCGGUUUAUUUUAUUUAUUUAUUUAUUUAUUUUGAGACGGAGUCUCACCCUGUCUCCCAGGCUGGAGUGCAGUGGCGCAAUCUCGGCUCAAGGCAAGCUCCGCCUCCCGGAUUCACGCCAUUCUCCUGCCUCAGCCUCCCAAGUAGCUGGGACUACAGGCGCCUGCAAUGGCGCCCAGCUAAUUUUUUUGUAUUUUUUUUUAGUAGAGACAAAUUUUCACAGCAUUAGCCAGGAUGGUCUCGAUCUCCUGACCUCGUGAUCCACCUGCCUCGGCCUCCCAAAGUGCGGGAUUACAGGCGUGAGUCAUCGUGCCCGGCCUAUUCGAUUUAUUUUUAUUUUUAGUUUUAGUUUUUAUUUAGAGACAAGGUCCCAGCCUGACCAACAUGGCGAAACCCUGUCUCUACUAAAAAUACAAAAAUUAGCUGGGUGUGGUGGCACACGCCUGUAAUCCCAGCUACUCAGGUGGCUGAAGCAGGAGAAUUGCUUGAACCCGGGAGGCAGAGGUUGCACUGAGCCGAGAUCUUGAGGCUACAAGACAGAGUGAGACUCUGUCUCAAAAAAACAAAAGACAAGGUCUUGCCCUGUCACCCAGGCUGGAGUGCUGUGGUGCAAUCUCGGCUCACUGCAGCCUCCACCUUGCAGGAUCAGGUGAUCCUCUUACCUCAGCCUCCAGAGUAGGCAUGCACUACCACGUCUGGCUUUUUUUUUUUUUGUGUUUUUAGUAGAGACAGAGUUUCUCCAUGUUGGUCAGGCUGGUCUCGAACUACCGACCUCAGGUAAUCUGCCCCCCUUGGCCUCCCGAAGUGCUGGAAUUACAGGCAUGUGUCACCAUGCCCGGCGUUUGAUUUUAAUUUUAACAGUACUUUGCAAACUCAACUCACACGUUUUCAGAAAGAUUUCAAGGUCUGCUGCCUCUGGGAUGAAAUGGAAACUCCUAGGCUGGGCCUGAGUGAAAGCAGCAUAGCAUGGCCAUAGGCAGAAGAGCCAGGCUGUGGAGGUGGCUGGAAUUUGGUCCCAACCUUGACCGGGUACAUCUAACAGUGAGCCAGGAAGGCUGCCCCACUUCCUGGAGGUUCAAGGUUUUGAUAUCUGAGAUGGGGCCAAUGCUAACAUCUAAACUCUUAAAGUUAUUGUGAAGAUUAAAAGAGAUAAUGAAUAAAAUGUCUCUUACCCCCAAACACUGAUGACCUCGUCCCUCACCCCCUUUUCCUCUUUUUAAUUAUCUUUCCUACGUUUUUCUCGCUUCUUAAUUCAUUGAGGUCAUACUCAGAGGAAGGCCCUAGACACGAGGGGAUCGUGUUGAAUUCCAUGAGGUUCCAGUCCUCAAGGAGAACAUCUCCUGGGGCAAACACACAAGUGAAUGGAAGGAUGGGGUACACAGGCUGCCCACGGGCUCGGAGGAGGACCAACUAACCUGGCAGUUCCCACUGUCCUUCUGGGUCUAGGUGACUCCUUUCCUAGCUUUGUGUCUACAGUUUUAUUCAUACCUAUUGUCUGUCUUGCAAGAAAUAUCCUUCAGGCAUCUGGGGGGAAAUGGGUGUGUACACAAAGAGAGGGAGAGAGAGCCAGAGCAAGUGCGAGAGAGAGCGAUAGUGAGAGAGAGAGAGAGAGAGAGAGAGAGAGAGACUAAUCCUCUGUUCCCUGACCACCCAGGGCUCCAAGGAGAAAUUGAAUAGGACAUGGCAGUCACUGUCCUUCCACUACUGGAAACACAUGAAAGUUGUCCAGAGAGCAGGUCAACAGUCAUUCGUGGGUGACAACAUAGGACUCUGGUGCAGGGAAGAAAGGCAGGUAGCAGAGUUCUUAUGAUGUGUGGGUCACAGAAAGGAGGCUCCAACAGGCUAGGGCUGGUGAACUCUCAACCCCUCCUUUGGGUCUCUGGAGGGCCCCAGAAGUGGCUGCCUAGGUAUUGAGCAGACAGGGUCCUCAGCCAGUCCUGGCCCCACCAAGGUGAGCCACGGGGGCUGUGACCAGGAUUCGGGGGCCUUCUCUCCACCCAGCCUUUCGGGCCUUCAAGGGCUGAAGCAGCAGUGGGGCAGGCCACGCCCAGUGGAUACGGCUUAUCAAGUGUCUGGCCCCCAUCUCUCUCCUGAGCACAAAAGCCUCUUGUGUGGCUGAGUGCAGAGAGCGGACACAGA
This 4862-nucleotide long non-coding RNA is filed under the name Papio anubis (olive baboon). Its description in RNAcentral is "lncRNA (ENSPANG00000047898.1)". The record is from RNAcentral. Lineage: Eukaryota; Metazoa; Chordata; Mammalia; Primates; Cercopithecidae.